Molecule: non-coding RNA, 232 nt
Organism: Leptonychotes weddellii (Weddell seal)
Lineage: Eukaryota; Metazoa; Chordata; Mammalia; Carnivora; Phocidae
Source: RefSeq, a predicted model, not a curated record
ACAUUCACUAUUUGUUCUCUCAUUACAGGCUUAUGAAAAAAUUGCUUACCUUCUCACCAACUUAGAAUAUCCUCGAACAGAAUCUGAGUGGGAAAACAGCUUUGCUCUGAAGAUGUUCCUCUUCCAGUUUGUUAAUUUAAAUAGUUCUAUCUUCUAUAUUGCUUUCUUUUUGGGGAGAUUUGUAGGCCACCCAGGAAAUUACAAUAAACUCUUUAACCGGUGGAGACUGGAG